GUGCAGGCCUUGGCAGCACAUAUACUAAAAUUGGAAUGAUACAAAGAAGAUUAGUAUGGUCCCUGUGCAAGGAUGACAUGGAAAUUUGUGAAGCAUUCCAUAUGGGG
RNAcentral lists this small nuclear RNA (107 nucleotides) under Piliocolobus tephrosceles (Ugandan red Colobus). Lineage: Eukaryota; Metazoa; Chordata; Mammalia; Primates; Cercopithecidae. The record is from RNAcentral.